CGCGGGAUGGAGCAGCUCGGUAGCUCGUCAGGCUCAUAACCUGAAGGUCGUGGGUUCAAAUCCUACUCCCGCAACCA
RNAcentral lists this transfer RNA (77 nucleotides) under Wolbachia endosymbiont of Armadillidium vulgare. RNAcentral's name for it is "tRNA-Met". It matches the Rfam family "tRNA". Rfam says of the family: Transfer RNA (tRNA) molecules are approximately 80 nucleotides in length. Their secondary structure includes four short double-helical elements and three loops (D, anti-codon, and T loops). Lineage: Bacteria; Pseudomonadati; Pseudomonadota; Alphaproteobacteria; Rickettsiales; Anaplasmataceae. The record is from RNAcentral.